RNAcentral lists this ribosomal RNA (646 nucleotides) under uncultured Alphaproteobacteria bacterium. RNAcentral's name for it is "bacterial SSU rRNA". It matches the Rfam family "Bacterial small subunit ribosomal RNA", at positions 65 to 757 of the family's 1533-position model. Lineage: Bacteria; Pseudomonadati; Pseudomonadota; Alphaproteobacteria. The record is from RNAcentral.
AACGCCCUCUUCGGAGGGAGUGGCAGACGGGUGAGUAACGCGUGGGAACCUACCAUACGGUACGGAAUAACUUCAGGAAACCGGAGCUAAUACCGUAUACGCCCUUCGGGGGAAAGAUUUAUCGCCGUUUGAUGGGCCCGCGUCGGAUUAGCUUGUUGGUGGGGUAAUGGCCCACCAAGGCGACGAUCCGUAGCUGGUUUGAGAAGAUGAUCAGCCACACUGGGACUGAGACACGGCCCAGACUCCUACGGGAGGCAGCAGUGGGGAAUAUUGGACAAUGGGCGCAAGCCUGAUCCAGCCAUGCCGCGUGAGUGACGAAGGCCUUAGGGUUGUAAAGCUCUUUCAGCGGGGAAGAUAAUGACGGUACCCGCAGAAGAAGCCCCGGCUAACUCCGUGCCAGCAGCCGCGGUAAUACGGAGGGGGCUAGCGUUGUUCGGAAUCACUGGGCGUAAAGCGCGCGUAGGCUGACUGGUCAGUUGGGGGUGAAAUCCCGAGGCUUAACCUCGGAACUGCCUCCAAAACUGCCAGUCUCGAGUCCGGGAGAGGUGAGUGGAAUUCCUAGUGUAGAGGUGAAAUUCGUAGAUAUUAGGAAGAACACCAGUGGCGAAGGCGGCUCACUGGCCCGGUACUGACGCUGAGGUGCGAA